Molecule: ribosomal RNA, 253 nt
Filed under: uncultured bacterium
Lineage: Bacteria
Description: partial 16S ribosomal RNA
Rfam family: Bacterial small subunit ribosomal RNA
Source: RNAcentral
UACGAAGGGGGCUAGCGUUGUUCGGAAUCACUGGGCGUAAAGCGCACGUAGGCGGAUUGUUAAGUCGGGGGUGAAAUCCUGAGGCUCAACCUCAGAACUGCCUUCGAUACUGGCAAUCUCGAGUCCGGAAGAGGUUGGUGGAACAGCUAGUGUAGAGGUGAAAUUCGUAGAUAUUAGCUAGAACACCAGUGGCGAAGGCGGCCGACUGGUACGGUACUGACGCUGAGGUGCGAAAGCGUGGGGAGCAAACAGG